Regulatory RNA element from Clostridium grantii DSM 8605, 115 nucleotides. It matches the Rfam family "PyrR binding site". Rfam says of the family: This family represents the PyrR binding site and terminator structure. This RNA structure is found upstream of a variety of genes involved in pyrimidine biosynthesis and transport. The alignment also includes a portion of the antiterminator structure. NCBI's taxonomy places the organism in Bacteria, Bacillati, Bacillota, Clostridia, Eubacteriales, Clostridiaceae. The record is from Rfam.
GAAAUCUUUAAAAUAGUCCUGUGAGGCUGGUAAGAUAAUUAUAUUGAACAAAGACUUUAUGAGUCUUAUUCUGCGCGAAUAUAACUUCUUAUCAGUAGGUAAGAAGUUUUUUUAU